CCCUUAGAUGUUCUGGGCCGCACGCGCGCUACACUGAUGAAUUCAACGAGCACUAACCUGUGCCGAAAGGUUCGGGUAAUCUUGUGAAAUUUCAUCGUGAUGGGGAUUGAUUAUUGCAAUUUUUAAUCAUAAACGAGGAAUGCCUAGUAAGCGUGAUUCAUCAGCUCACGUUGAUUACGUCCCUGCUCUUUGUACACACCGCCCGUCGCUCCUACCGAUUGAAUGUGCCAGUGAAAAGUUAGGAUUGGGCGUGGGAGACGGCAACGUAUUCCACAUCCGAGAAAAUCUUUAAACUUUCCCAUUUAGAGGAAGGAGAAGUCGUAACA
This 326-nucleotide ribosomal RNA is filed under the name uncultured eukaryote. RNAcentral's name for it is "partial 18S ribosomal RNA". It matches the Rfam family "Eukaryotic small subunit ribosomal RNA", at positions 1470 to 1796 of the family's 1831-position model. The record is from RNAcentral.